GACUUACCUUUGCAGGCCUGGCAGCAGGAUGCAGGCAGCGGGAGAGGUGCGGGGCAGCCUGGUUCUGGGCAGGUCAUGAGACCGCAGUAGAUCUGGCCUUCCUGACAGAGCAAACAGAACAUGGGUUCUGAUGAGGAACAGCCUCCGGGUUAGGAGAGCCCCCUGCCCUGGGGGCAAAUGGCCUUGAGGUGUCCCUUGAGGUGGGAGAGGAAAGGGGCAGUGAAGCAUCCUGGGCAAGGCCCAGCCAGCUCCCCACUCCCUCCCCAGGCCCUGAGGUAACAUCCAUCCUUCAGCUUCUAAGGUGUGUUCAGACCCUGCCUCUCCCUAGGCUCUCACAGCAACCCAGGUGAGGUGGGAUUCUUCCAUCCUAAGGUGAGGAGGGCCUGAGGGGAGGCCUGAACUGCCUGAAAUCAGAAAUGCACCCCAGCAGAGCAGACUAGAGCCCAGCCUGCAGGCUUUUCCUACUGAACUCAACACCCUCCUCCCUGACCUGGGACAGCGGGGCCCAGAGAGACGAGGGGGAUCAAUGGGACACAUGUUGGGUUCAUCUUGCUCUUAUGAAAACCCUAGGUCCCCAGCUUUAGGACCCAGCCUGGACAGGCAACACUGCAGAGAAAAGGGCCUUCUGGGCAUCAGAAGCCCGAUAACCUUUGGUGAGUCACUUCCCUUCUCUCGGCCUCACUUCCCUCCUCUGUGAAAUGGGAGCACCCCAUCUGGGUUGUGAAGAUCAAGUGAGGGAGUAGUUGUGAAAACCCUUUUUAAACGGGAAGGCACGAGGUACCUGGCAGGAAGUGAUACCAUCUCGAGUCCUUUCCUUAUGCCCUUUCCAGUGAGUCUCAGAAGGAGGCCAGGAGUCAAGCCAGUCCCAUGUAAACAAGGAGGAGAGGAAAGAAGGGGAGACCCCAGUAUCCAAGGAGAAGGGACAAGGAAUUACAAGAAUGUUCUCACCACCCCACCACCACACCAUCACUUCUGUCUCCUCCCACAGAUUCCUCCUCACUCAGGCCCUUGUCCCUUUACAGAAAGCCACGCAAUACAGGGAAGAAGGGAACAUGAAUUUUGGAGUCAUGUGGCCCCACCUCUGAAUUCUGGCUCUGCCAUUUAGCCAGCUCUGUGACCUUAGGCAAGUCGCUUAACUGAUCUGAGCCUCAGUUUCCUCAUCUGAAAAAUAAGAACAGUGAUUUCCUGCUCCUAGGGCCUGGGGGCGCUGUCUAUACGCACAAGGCAUCUCCGUGAACUGGCAGGUGCGAUGUGUGAGACUGCUGGAGGGGCCUCAGGCCCUCGAGAAGCAAUCAUUGUAGACAUCUGUGCGCCAGGCCCUGGGCCAGUAGCAGCAGAAGUUACAAAAAUGAAUUGGGCAUGUUCCCGCAUUCGAGGAGUGCAGAGUCAAUCGGAGAACACAGAAAUGGACAAAUGUGAGUACGAGGAAGGAUGUCGUCUGGACCAGACAGGCGGAGGAGAACCCACCAGACGUGCUCUCCCAGUCAAGGGCCCAGAAUACCUGGGUCCGUCAGCCUGACUAGGCACUGACCGUGUGACUUUGGGUACGUCACUGCCCCUUUCCGAACCUUAACGCUUCUCUCAUAGGGCAGUUAGGAAGGUCAAACAGUGAAAGCGCUUACAGAUUUCAAUUGUAUAAAUGUUAUUAGAUGAACAAUCUGAGGCCCAGAGAGGAUGAAUCACACCUUUAAGGUCACAUAGGACAUCAGUCACCAAGCAGGGAUGAUAGCCCAUGCGUCCCGACUCUCAGUUCAGUGCUCCUUCUGCGCCCAUAAUCACACUGGCUUCCUCUCCCUCGGUCCCAUGUUGCUUAUUUAUUUACUACAUCUCUGCACACACACACACACACACACACACACACACGCAUGCACACACCUGCACGCACACACGCACACCUUCUCUCCAGGUCCUGGGACCCACCUUUUCAAUAAAGCCACUCACAGCAGCUUUCCUGCUUUCACAGCCUACCAUGUCCUUAUCACUCAGCGAGCUGUGAUGAAAGUGUUUGAAUUGGGAAAACAAGGGCCACCUAGUGAAAGGUUCUUAGAAAGCCGAUUUUAAAUAGCCUUAAAAAUGGUCAUUGCUACUAGUAUGACUGCACGUCGAUUGGUUAUUUUUAUGAUCUGCAUAUCAGUUGUCAAUAUAUAAGGGAAUGCUUCUAAGAACGACUGAGGGGAGGUUGUUUCAUUAGGUUAGACGCCUCUCCUGCAAGCCUGCUUUCCUGAACGACCUGUGUCUCACUUCACACAGCCCAUCAGCCACCCUUCCUGCCCCGCCCGCUCUUACUGGCUCACCACACCUAGCCCUGGCUCAGGGCUCCAGGUCCGGCUUAGGGCCCCGCACCCCGCCCUGCCGCCUCUGGCCCUAUCCCUGCCACCCCCACUCCUCACAAGUAGUGGGUGAUUUUUACAAGCCAGAAGGGAUGCUAUCAUUCCUACAGGAAAAUUCUACCUAAAGAAUAAGCUACCUCUUAUAGGGUGGAAGUGGGGUGCCCAGCACAAGCGAAGUGUCCCCGAAGGUUUGUGGAAUUAAAUGAGAUUGAGAGAUGGAAAAAGGAGCCAAUAUUUACUGACUAUCUUCUCUUUUCAUAAAUUACUUAAUUACCCCAUUGACAUUAUUGUUUUGAGCAUUAAAUUGGAAAAUGCUUGUCAAGUGCCUACUUAGCCCAGUUCCUGACACUUGUUGAAUGCUAUUAUUAUGAUAAUUGUGGUCACCAUGACCCUGCAAGAUGGGUCAUCUUGAACGGAUGAUCUUGUCCCUCUAAGCAGGGUUAUUGGGAUCGUUACCAUCAUUUUGAGAAAAGCAGAUGGAAAAACUGAAGAUCCAGAGCCUGAGUGACUUGCCUAGGCCAUCCAGCUAGCAAUUGGAACCCAGGACUCCACUCUCAGGCAGGGCUCCUUGCAGUUUACCUCCCUUCUCCAUGGCUUUGUGCCCAGUCCCACAGGGGCUCCUCUCUCUGCCUCAGCGGCUGCCAUACCUUACUCCCUAUUUUCCUUCCUA
Ailuropoda melanoleuca (giant panda) is the source of this 3000-nucleotide long non-coding RNA. RefSeq lists it as uncharacterized. The transcript has 3 exons. The record is from RefSeq and is a predicted model, not a curated record. NCBI's taxonomy places the organism in Eukaryota, Metazoa, Chordata, Mammalia, Carnivora, Ursidae.